UCUCUCUUCAGUUCAGGGUCAAACUCAGAUAAUUAAUUAAAUAUAAAUAAAAUAGAAAUGAUGUAGAAUUGUUUUUUUUUUUAACAACUAAAUUAGUAACAGUAAAAGUUUUUAUGAGUUGAUUUUUUAUUUUGAAUUACUAAGAGGUUUUAUGUUCAAGGUCAUAUAUCUUCAGCUAUAUACAAGUGGGACUAAUUGGACAUAAAAAUGAAGAAUGUAUUAACAUCUCAAUAGUCAUCCAUAACUAAGGAAUUGAAAGCUUAUUUUCGGAUGAAAAUUUAAUGUUAUGUGCGUAUUCUCAAUUUCAUUAAUCGUUCAAAACAGAUAAAAUAAUUAGUAUUAUACCGAAAUAAAAAGUGACUUGAUUGUUUACCUAAUCACAAAAUUUGCAAAAUGACACAGACUUCCAUAUAUAUAAUUGGGUCUUGUUGAUUUUUUAAAAGUUUGUAAAAUAUGUUCUAGAGAAGUAGUAGUGAUCAGCGUUAUUUCAACUCUUUUUUCGUACACAUGUUUUGUAGGAAUUGUUUGAUGCAUAUGUAACCCCCUUGUCGCGCAUGUGUACCUUCCACAUGAGUGUAUUGCAGCAGCCCAAAAGGAACAUAGUACAAGACAAAAUGCACAAAUAACAUUCUAAGAACUUCAUGUACAAAAAUAGAAGCGCUGGUAUCAAUUUUCUACUUGGAUUCUUUUUUGUCCUUUACAUUGCUUAAAUUGUUAUCUAAUUAUCAUCUAUGUAUACAUCUUGAGAGAGAGAAGACAUAACAUGUAUGUUUGGGACAAAUUAAAAACUUUAA
RNAcentral lists this small RNA (794 nucleotides) under Arabidopsis thaliana (thale cress). RNAcentral describes it as "ATSL055160". Lineage: Eukaryota; Viridiplantae; Streptophyta; Magnoliopsida; Brassicales; Brassicaceae. The record is from RNAcentral.